AUGGAAUUGAAUUGUAGUUGUAGGAGUCCACGUCCAGCUAGGCAGAAACAAAUCCAAGGAAUCCAUGGCGGCGGAAGAGACGACGACGACGACGACGAGGAUGGAGAUGGUGGCGCUGCGGAGCCAGGAGGGCGUGGAUUUCGUGGUUCCACCUUCUUACGUCGUAGGAUGGAGCUCGACCGCGACAACUACAUCGUCCCCGCCGACGGCGACGAGACCAAGUACACCCAUAUCUUGCUCCGCUCCAUCCGAGCCGACGUCCUACCCAAGGUUCUGCACUACUGCAAGAGGCACGCCAUUGCCACUGACGACGACCGGGCCCUCGGCGGCGAUUGGGACGCGGGGUUCAUCGGCAGCGUCGACCUCGACACCCUCUACGAUCUCAUCCUGGCUUCGGAGAAGCUCGAGGUCCGAGGGCUCCUCGGCCUGAGCUGCCGGGCCCUCGCCGACAAGAUCAAGGGGAAGUCGCCACGCGAGACCUGCCAUAUCCUCGACAUCAGGGGCAUCUUCGACGGACGCGGAUCUUUCACGCAUAUGCUUCGGAGCCCUGCUAUCUUGGCCAUCCGCCACUGUUGUGUGUCUCGAGAUGCGAGGAGAACCUAUGGGCACUUAAACUCUCGAUUAGCAGGAGUAGUUCUGAUAGAGGCGCUCCGAAGCAUAUGCCUUCUCAAAUAUUAUCCCGUCUUCGACGACGCCAAUCAUGACCUCAAGUUGGUGGAGAAGGCGUUGGCGGCUCUUAACAUAGUCCGUUGCCAAGACUUCACCCAAUACGAACCCAAGCUCAAUGCUUUCAAGUGUAGUCGAUACUACAACUUUGAGAACCUAGCCUUCUUCGACUUCGACAAAGAGUCUAGCUUCCAACGUGGUCCCCCGCUCCACAAGUUACCUUCACCCGAGUCGAUCCAACGAUAUUGCCUCAAUGUCAUUUCUGUCAAGGCGUGUGAAUCGGAUGUUGGCUAUCCGAUCAGCGUGUUUGGAACCGUUAUAGCGAGGGACUAUGUCGACUACAGAUGCGUCUAUCUGUUUAGGCGUGAAAGGGAUGAUCCCCAGCUCAUCAGCUCUCCCGAUGAUAUGUUAUCUUUGAUAGAUCCAUGUCGAGCGCUUGUUCCAAUAGACAACGUUUAUUUUGAGACUGAUUUAAAGAUCAAGUGUGAUGGAGGGGCAGAUAGAGUUUUCAGUAAAGGCAUAACGGAAUUCAAUUGGGUUUGCAUCCCUACAUACAAGCAAACCAUGACGGUCAGUGUGUAUAGUUUCCUGAGUGACGUGGAGUUUUUAUGUGCACUGGUUCACGAACCCGUAGAAGCCACCAUUGCAAUCAAUGUUUUGAAGGGCCCAUGUAAUAUCUCAAGAGUAGCCGCUUCGACUCCCGGAAACUUCAAGGAUCAAAUCGUUCCAUGCGAAUCAGCGGGCAGUCCGUCGGUAGUCGGCGAUGGUGAGUCCAUCCCGUUAACUCGGAGCGUGGUAGCUAUCUCGCUAGAUCGGAAGUUGACGCUCUUCCUUGUUGGUGGUGACGCGUGUGAACACCUUGCCCUCACUCUAGGAUAUUCCGAUCAAGUGCUUAUUCGCAAGAUGGGUUGUGCGGUGCUGGAGGUAAUAGUUGGGUGGACAUAUGUGCCGAAAAGAGAGAUGCCUAAUAUGUUUAAGGAUAUUGGAAAACAUACACGCCUCUUGCUGUGA
This 1677-nucleotide ribosomal RNA is filed under the name Triticum aestivum (bread wheat). Its description in RNAcentral is "partial small subunit ribosomal RNA". The record is from RNAcentral. Lineage: Eukaryota; Viridiplantae; Streptophyta; Magnoliopsida; Poales; Poaceae.